CGAUCUUGAGUCAGGCGGCUCGGGUAUUGCGGGGGGUGCGGUGGGUAAUCUGCAUUACUGGGCGUAAGGCGUACUCAGAAGGUUGCGUAAGGCAUGUGUGGACGCCCCGGGGUCAGCCUGGGAAUGUCAUUUGGGAAUGCGAAGCUAGGGUGCGGAUGAGGUAAGCGGAAUUUCCGGUGUAGCGGUGAAAUGCGUAGAUAGCUGAAGGAACACCAGUGGCGAAAGCGGCUCCCUGGUCCAGCACUGACGUUCAGGCACGAAAGCGUGGGGAGCAAACAGGAUUAGAUACCCCAGUAGUC
Molecule: ribosomal RNA, 299 nt
Filed under: uncultured Oceanithermus sp.
Lineage: Bacteria; Thermotogati; Deinococcota; Deinococci; Thermales; Thermaceae
Description: partial 16S ribosomal RNA
Rfam family: Bacterial small subunit ribosomal RNA
Source: RNAcentral